CCUACGGGAGGCAGCAGUGAGGAAUAUUGGUCAAUGGGCGGAAGCCUGAACCAGCCAAGUAGCGUGCAGGAUGACGGCCCUACGGGUUGUAAACUGCUUUUAUACGGGAAUAACGCGCCUUACGUGUAGGGCUUUGCAUGUACCGUAUGAAUAAGGACCGGCUAAUUCCGUGCCAGCAGCCGCGGUAAUACGGAAGGUCCGGGCGUUAUCCGGAUUUAUUGGGUUUAAAGGGAGCGUAGGCCGCAUGUCAAGCGUGCUGUGAAAUGUCCGGGCUCAACCCGGGCCUUGCAGCGCAAACUGGCGUGCUUGAGUCCGCGGAAAGCAGGCGGAAUUCGGCGUGUAGCGGUGAAAUGCUUAGAUAUGACGAAGAACCCCGAUUGCGAAGGCAGCCUGCUGCAGCGGAACUGACGCUGAUGCUCGAAAGCGCGGGUAUCGAACAGGAUUAGAUACCCCUGUAGUC
RNAcentral lists this ribosomal RNA (460 nucleotides) under uncultured bacterium. RNAcentral's name for it is "partial 16S ribosomal RNA". It matches the Rfam family "Bacterial small subunit ribosomal RNA", at positions 338 to 795 of the family's 1533-position model. The record is from RNAcentral.